UUUUUGUGUAUAUCUUCAUUUGUAAAGGAAAUGCAUCAAACAUUCAUUAAAAUCAACAAAAAUGUGAAAACAAUAGAAUGGAUCAGUGCAAAUAACUUCUUUUAACCGAGAGAAUGCAUAAAUUAGGCUAGUUAUACCCCCGACACUGUCGGAGGCACAACAUCACAAGUCGGAGGCCUGAGAUUUACAGACUACUCCGUUUAAACGUACCGUUUCCAUUUUUUGUGAUGUUGUUGGGUUAAUUCUUACUAAAUAUCUAUCUAGAUUAACACAAAUUCCACAUUUCUGUCCAUAUUUCCUAUUUUUCGUCACAUUACAGGUGCUCGAGAAAAAUAUUAAUGCAAGCUUCUAAAUGAAGCAGGUAUUUUUUGAUUGGCUAAAUAUUCGGAGAGGGCGGGGCUUAAUACUCGACAGAAAAUCGCCUAAAUCAUAUAAUUUAUCCAUGACUUUUUACAAUUUUUCUAUAAUUACCCUGACUUGGACCAUUCCGCAUCCUAAGGCAACGAUUGCUGCAACGCUGCUUCAUCAAAAGAUGGUGAACUGGACAUUUUUUCUUCUCCAUCAUGGCGGCGUGUACAACGACGCAUGAAUAUUUAAUGAGAUUGAAC
RNAcentral lists this long non-coding RNA (608 nucleotides) under Mytilus galloprovincialis (Mediterranean mussel). Lineage: Eukaryota; Metazoa; Mollusca; Bivalvia; Mytilida; Mytilidae. The record is from RNAcentral.